UCCGCCAGGAUUCCAAUGAGUACUCUGUGUAAUCCUGUACAGUCGCUCGUGACCAAGUGCCACAGUGAACGGGGCAUUAGGUCCCAGAUCAUCUGACUGAGUCCCACCUAUGCAGAUGGAGCGUAGACUGUGACCACCGGGAUGAACGCAACAUAUCUGACGUUCCAUCGGAAGGUCAGGGCUCGCCAAUAUUAGUCCACUCGGACUACGAGCUUCACCAUUUGGCGGUCAACUUCGCGCAAUUCCAUCCUGGGUCCAGAUUCCAAUGUGACCAAAGAAGCACCUGCUGAACAUCCAGAUAUCCAGUCCUCUUCCACCAGACUGCACGUUCUGCGAUGAACACCCACAUGAUUCGAGCUUGCGCUACGUACUUCUGUACAGCUUCGAACUUAUUGGACAUCAUAGCGGGGAUCAACUUCGAACAACCCUCUUCACCGUUAGGAAGUUCUCUGAAUAAACUUUCCUUGGCAUACA
Long non-coding RNA from Ornithodoros turicata, 474 nucleotides. RefSeq lists it as uncharacterized. Lineage: Eukaryota; Metazoa; Arthropoda; Arachnida; Ixodida; Argasidae. The record is from RefSeq and is a predicted model, not a curated record. The transcript is spliced from 2 exons.